CAGCAGCCGCGGGAAUACAGAGGUCCCGAGCGUUGUUCGGAUUCACUGGGCGUAAAGGGUGUGUAGGAGGUUGGAUAAGUCAGGUGUGAAAUCCCGCAGCUCAACUGCGGAACUGCAUUCGAUACUGUUCAACUAGAGGAUCGGAGAGGGAAGCGGAAUUCUUGGUGUAGCGGUGAAAUGCGUAGAUAUCAAGAGGAACACCGGUGGCGAAGGCGGCUUCCUGGAAGAUACCUGACUCUGAAGCACGAAAGCCAGGGGAGCGAAUGGGAUUAGAGACCCCCGUAGUCCCUGUCUCUUAUAC
Molecule: ribosomal RNA, 301 nt
Filed under: uncultured bacterium
Lineage: Bacteria
Description: partial 16S ribosomal RNA
Rfam family: Bacterial small subunit ribosomal RNA
Source: RNAcentral